Molecule: ribosomal RNA, 483 nt
Filed under: uncultured bacterium
Lineage: Bacteria
Description: bacterial SSU rRNA
Rfam family: Bacterial small subunit ribosomal RNA
Source: RNAcentral
AUUGAACGCUGGCGGCAUGCCUUACACAUGCAAGUCGAACGGUACAGGUCUUCGGACGCUGACGAGUGGCGAACGGGUGAGUAAUACAUCGGAACGUGCCCGAUCGUGGGGGAUAACGUAGCGAAAGUUACGCUAAUACCGCAUACGCCCUGAGGGGGAAAGCGGGGGAUUCGUAAGAACCUCGCGCAAUUAGAGCGGCCGAUGCCUGAUUAGCUUGUUGGUGGGGUAAAAGCCCACCAAGGCGACGAUCAGUAGCUGGUCUGAGAGGACGACCAGCCACACUGGGACUGAGACACGGCCCAGACUCCUACGGGAGGCAGCAGUGGGGAAUUUUGGACAAUGGGCGCAAGCCUGAUCCAGCAAUGCCGCGUGCAGGAAGAAGGCCUUCGGGUUGUAAACUGCUUUUGUACGGAACGAAACGGUCUGGGUUAAUACCCUGGGCUAAUGACGGUACCGUAAGAAUAAGCACCGGCUAACUACGUG